Zopfochytrium polystomum is the source of this 72-nucleotide non-coding RNA. NCBI's taxonomy places the organism in Eukaryota, Fungi, Chytridiomycota, Chytridiomycetes, Chytridiales, Chytridiaceae. The record is from the annotation of a GenBank genome assembly.
GCCCGUGUAGCAAAGUGGUAUUGCGCUUCCCUUCUAAGGAAGAUGUCCAGGGUUCGAACCCCUGCUCGGGUG